UCGUGACAAUUUCUCUAUCAGAUAUUGCGUCUAAGCAGAUGAGAUAUUUAGAUGCAAAAAAGCACACAAUACUGUUGACAAUUAAUGAUCAUAUAUAUUUGUAAUAAAAGUACGAACAAAGAUACAUCACAACAUGCAUCAACAAACAACAUAACAGGCAUACAUUACAAUAAUCUGAGGCCUCAGAUGGGAGCUUCUCUUUGCGUGUUACUUCAUUCUCUGAAGGUACGCUGGGGAGAAGUCCACCGAGUGUUUGAAAUCAAUGAGUUCUUAUUCACUUCGGUUGGCUUCUGAAGGGGCAGAUGGUUAUCUUUACAACUGAAGCUCCCCUGGAUGCCAUUGGAGGGGGUAGCGGCCGUGCCAUCUAACCUUCUGGCUUCGUUGACGCUAGCCAGGGGGUCGAGGAAACAAGCCCAUACAUCAAAGCAUUGCUUGUAAUCUGAUUUACAACACACGAAAACAUAGGAACAGGCAGGCAAUAAAAUGCAUCACACGACUCUCGAACGUUCACACUUUAAAUGACCCAAAAGGAGAGCAGAAGGCAGACACUAUAUAAAAUUACACAGAAUAGCAACAAAACUUAAAUUCAUAUAGACCAAAACAAUACAACAUGUAGAUUUUCCAUCACAAUCCCCCCUUUGAUUAUUUAAUAAUCACAAAA
Molecule: long non-coding RNA, 661 nt
Organism: Gadus macrocephalus (Pacific cod)
Lineage: Eukaryota; Metazoa; Chordata; Actinopteri; Gadiformes; Gadidae
Exons: 2
Source: RefSeq, a predicted model, not a curated record